ACACGUACACAACCUCCCUUUAAGUGGGGAAUAGCCCAGAGAAAUUUGGAUUAAUACCCCGUAACACAACGAAGUGGCAUCACUUUGUUGUUAUAGUUUCGGCGCUUAAUGAUGGGUGUGCGUAUGAUUAGAUAGUUGGCGAGGUAACGGCUCACCAAGUCUACGAUCAUUAGCUGAUGUGAGAGCAUGAUCAGCCACACGGGCACUGAGACACGGGCCCGACUCCUACGGGAGGCAGCAGUAAGGAAUAUUGGUCAAUGGACGCAAGUCUGAACCAGCCAUGCCGCGUGAAGGAUUAAGGUCCUCUGGAUUGUAAACUUCUUUUAUAUGGGACGAAAAAAGGUCUUUCUAGACCCCUUGACGGUACCAUAUGAAUAAGCACCGGCUAACUCCGUGCCAGCAGCCGCGGUAAUACGGAGGGUGCAAGCGUUAUCCGGAUUCACUGGGUUUAAAGGGUGCGUAGGCGGGUAGGUAAGUCAGUGGUGAAAUCCUGGAGCUCAACUCCAGAACUGCCAUUGAUACUAUCUAUCUUGAAUAUUGUGGAGGUAAGCGGAAUAUGUCAUGUAGCGGUGAAAUGCUUAGAUAUGACAUAGAACACCCAUUGCGAAGGCAGCUUACUACGCAUAUAUUGACGCUGAGGCACGAAAGCGUGGGGAUCAAACAGGAUUAGAUACCCUGGUAGUCCACGCCCUAAACUAUGGAUACUCGACAUAUGCGAUACACUGUAUGUGUCUGAGCGAAAGCAUUAAGUAUCCCACCUGGGAAGUACGUUCGCAAGAAUGAAACUCAAAGGAAUUGGCGGGGGUCCGCACAAGCGGUGGAGUAUGUGGUUUAAUUCGAUGAUACGCGAGGAACCUUACCUGGGCUAGAAUGCUGGGAG
RNAcentral lists this ribosomal RNA (880 nucleotides) under uncultured bacterium. Its description in RNAcentral is "bacterial SSU rRNA". It matches the Rfam family "Bacterial small subunit ribosomal RNA", at positions 113 to 994 of the family's 1533-position model. The record is from RNAcentral.